Molecule: transfer RNA, 85 nt
Filed under: Candidatus Pacearchaeota archaeon
Lineage: Archaea; Nanobdellati
Description: tRNA-Leu
Rfam family: tRNA
About the family: Transfer RNA (tRNA) molecules are approximately 80 nucleotides in length.
Source: RNAcentral
GCUGGGGUGGCGGAAUAGGCAGACGCGCAUGGUUGAGGGCCAUGUGGGAGUUAAUCCCGUGCGGGUUCAAGUCCCGCCCCCAGCA